This 1343-nucleotide ribosomal RNA is filed under the name uncultured bacterium. Its description in RNAcentral is "16S ribosomal RNA". It matches the Rfam family "Bacterial small subunit ribosomal RNA", at positions 28 to 1378 of the family's 1533-position model. The record is from RNAcentral.
GACGAACGCUGGCGGCGUGCUUAACACAUGCAAGUCGAACGGAAAGGCCCUGCUUUUGUGGGGUGCUCGAGUGGCGAACGGGUGAGUAACACGUGAGUAACCUGCCCUUGACUUUGGGAUAACUUCAGGAAACUGGGGCUAAUACCGGAUAGGAGCUCCUGCUGCAUGGUGGGGGUUGGAAAGUUUCGGCGGUUGGGGAUGGACUCGCGGCUUAUCAGCUUGUUGGUGGGGUAGUGGCUUACCAAGGCUUUGACGGGUAGCCGGCCUGAGAGGGUGACCGGCCACAUUGGGACUGAGAUACGGCCCAGACUCCUACGGGAGGCAGCAGUGGGGAAUAUUGCACAAUGGGCGGAAGCCUGAUGCAGCAACGCCGCGUGCGGGAUGACGGCCUUCGGGUUGUAAACUGCUUUCGCCUGUGACGAAGCGUGAGUGACGGUAAUGGGUAAAGAAGCACCGGCUAACUACGUGCCAGCAGCCGCGGUGAUACGUAGGGUGCGAGCGUUGUCCGGAUUUAUUGGGCGUAAAGGGCUCGUAGGUGGUUGAUCGCGUCGGAAGUGUAAUCUUGGGGCUUAACCCUGAGCGUGCUUUCGAUACGGGUUGACUUGAGGAAGGUAGGGGAGAAUGGAAUUCCUGGUGGAGCGGUGGAAUACGCAGAUAUCAGGAGGAACACCAGUGGCGAAGGCGGUUCUCUGGGCCUUUCCUGACGCUGAGGAGCGAAAGCGUGGGGAGCGAACAGGCUUAGAUACCCUGGUAGUCCACGCUGUAAACGGUGGGUACUAGGUGUGGGGUCCAUUCCACGGGUUCCGUGCCGUAGCUAACGCUUUAAGUACCCCGCCUGGGGAGUACGGCCGCAAGGCUAAAACUCAAAGGAAUUGACGGGGCCCCGCACAAGCGGCGGAGCAUGCGGAUUAAUUCGAUGCAACGCGUAGAACCUUACCUGGGUUUGACAUGGAUCGGGAGCGCUCAGAGAUGGGUGUGCCUCUUUUGGGGUCGGUUCACAGGUGGUGCAUGGCUGUCGUCAGCUCGUGUCGUGAGAUGUUGGGUUAAGUCCCGCAACGAGCGCAACCCUUGUUCACUGUUGCCAGCACGUUAUGGUGGGGACUCAGUGGAGACCGCCGGGGUCAACUCGGAGGAAGGUGGGGAUGACGUCAAGUCAUCAUGCCCCUUAUGUCCAGGGCUUCACGCAUGCUACAAUGGCUGGUACAGAGAGUGGCGAGCCUGUGAGGGUGAGCGAAUCUCGGAAAGCCGGUCUCAGUUCGGAUUGGGGUCUGCAACUCGACCUCAUGAAGUCGGAGUCGCUAGUAAUCGCAGAUCAGCAACGCUGCGGUGAAUACGUUCCCGGG